This 305-nucleotide ribosomal RNA is filed under the name uncultured bacterium. RNAcentral's name for it is "bacterial SSU rRNA". It matches the Rfam family "Bacterial small subunit ribosomal RNA", at positions 335 to 633 of the family's 1533-position model. The record is from RNAcentral.
AGCCUACGGGAGGCAGCAGUAGGGAAUCUUCCACAAUGGGCGAAAGCCUGAUGGAGCAACGCCGCGUGGGUGAAGAAGGUCUUCGGAUCGCAAAACCCUGUUGUUAGAGAAGAAAGUGCGUGAGAGUAACUGUUCACGUUUCGACGGUAUCUAACCAGAAAGCCGCGGCUAACUACGUGCCAGCAGCCGCGGUAAUACGUAGGUGGCAAGCGUUAUCCGGAUUUAUUGGGCGUAAAGGGAACGCAGGCGGUCUUUUAAGUCUGAUGUGAAAGCUUUCGGCUUAACCGGAGUAGUGCAUUGGAAAC